UACGUAGGUGGCAAGCGUUUGUCCGGAUUUAUUGGGUUUAAAGGGUGCGUAGGCGGCUUAAUAAGUCAGUGGUGAAAGCCGAUCGCUUAACGAUCGAACUGCCAUUGAUACUGCUAGGCUUGAGUAUAGAUGAGGUAGGCGGAAUUGACAGUGUAGCGGUGAAAUGCAUAGAUAUUGUCAAGAACACCAAUUGCGAAGGCAGCUUACUAAGUUAUAACUGACGCUGAGGCACGAAAAGUGCGGGGAUCAAACAGG
RNAcentral lists this ribosomal RNA (255 nucleotides) under uncultured bacterium. Its description in RNAcentral is "partial 16S ribosomal RNA". It matches the Rfam family "Bacterial small subunit ribosomal RNA", at positions 524 to 776 of the family's 1533-position model. The record is from RNAcentral.